GCCUGGUCUGAAGAAGGUGGAGUUGAAGGUGCCCCGUCUGACUGAGAGCUGGGCCCACUGGAUCCUCAACCUCAUCCACACGUGCACCACUCUGAAGGAAGUAGAGUUAUAUGCUUCAAUGGGCUUGUAUUGGGCUGAUGGUCUCUUACUGGAGGAGGGGAUCAGUCUUCUGCAGGAGUCUUAUAAGCCUCCAGAUUGCACUGUGAUUCUCACUGGGAGGAGAUGCACUAAACCCAGUGGGAAGUGUAGUGAGGAAAAACACUUCCGAUUGGACUGCAACCAGUAUGUGACGAUCCAGAUAUUGGGGACAAAUGUAAUUCGGGAGGAAAGCAAUCCUCUGCCACUGCUUGCCGGAUCUACUGUUGCAGACUGGUCAUAUUUUAUACUCGAACGUCACAUGCCGUACAUGGGAUCUGCACAAAAAUAAUCCUGUGUAACUUGAUCUCCUGGAAGUGCCCUGAGUUGGCUACGGUGCGGCUGAUAGCAAUGCAACACUAUGGCUAACAUUAUGUGAAGCCUUCUGAUGCAGUAUAAUUCUAGCACAACAAGUAGGCUAACAUUAUGUGUAGCCUUCUGAUGCAGUGUAACUCUAGCA
Clupea harengus (Atlantic herring) is the source of this 595-nucleotide long non-coding RNA. RefSeq lists it as uncharacterized. NCBI's taxonomy places the organism in Eukaryota, Metazoa, Chordata, Actinopteri, Clupeiformes, Clupeidae. The transcript is spliced from 3 exons. The record is from RefSeq and is a predicted model, not a curated record.